GCCCAGAGACAGGGAGACAUCACUUUUGCAUCGAUACUCUUUGUAAGGUGCACAUCACUUCGCUGGUCUUUGUUUUCCCACAUUUCACUUCUCGGAGAGAAACGCUCCAGAGCAGAGAACUUCUCUUGGCACUCUGGCCGAGUCUUGUGGCUUUUGCUGACUGCUUCGGAUUCAGUGGGGUCUAGCUGUUUCUGCUGACUCGUGUUGCUGUUUGGCGUUUGCUGUUUGGCUGGGUUGCCGGUAUCUGGACAACAAAGAGUGGACUCACCCCGAGGAACUACAUCUAAAAAGGGAGAGGAAAGCUGGAGGCUGAAAGAUGGAGGCUGCAAAAUCAAGACCUGUCCAAGGCUCACGCCACCUUCAAGCUGCCUCCACCUGGGAGGGUGUGACACGCAGAGACUUCCUCUCAGCGGUAGGUUCGGUCUGGGAAGGGUGCCCACAGAGUUUCCCAGAGCCACUGUGGCACACAGGACUGGCUUUCCCUCCUGACCCAGGGACGCCUCCGUCACUACCUCUUCAGCUUCUGAAAUUUAUAUGAAGCUAAAGAGGAGCAGAAUAGACAAGACACCUUGAGUAAGAUCAGUCCUGGGGGCGUCGUGCUGCCUGAUGCCGCCCGAUGCCGCCCGAUGCCGCCCGAUGCCGCCCGAUGCCGCCCGAUGCUGCCCGACGCCGCCUGAUUUUAAAGCACAACAGACACAGUGAUCAGAACAGCAAGUUAAAGGCAGAACAACAAUAACAACAACAAAAAACUGGAUUAGAGAACUCAGGAAUACAUCUAUAUACUGUAGUCAGUUUCUCUUCAAUAAAAGUGUCGGAAAGCACACAAUGGAGGAAGGGUAGCAUCUUCAAUCAAUGGUGCUGAGAAAAAUGGAUAUUCCUACGCAGGAGAAUGAAUCUGGACCCUAUCUCACACCUGUAGAAAAUCAACCGCAAGUGUACUGUAGCAAAGAUGUAAACAUAUUAUUUCAAAGUGUAAACACACUAGAAAAAAACAAAAUUGAGGCAUUGCUUGA
Long non-coding RNA from Meriones unguiculatus (Mongolian gerbil), 1013 nucleotides. RefSeq lists it as uncharacterized. The transcript is spliced from 2 exons. Lineage: Eukaryota; Metazoa; Chordata; Mammalia; Rodentia; Muridae. The record is from RefSeq and is a predicted model, not a curated record.